GCUUUCUUUCCCCAUUCCACCUCGUCUUCCUCGCCCCGCCUCCCUCCCUCGCCGCCACGCCCCGCCUCGCCGCCUGGACAAAUCCGGCGAGCCCCGAACCCCGGCUCUGCCGCCGGAUGCUCCCUGAUACCCGCCGCUGCCUCUAUCAUCUACCUCCGGCGGCGUGGCCCCGCUCCCCCACAUCGACCCGCGGUUUCUGGUGCCCGAUCGCGCCGGAGCUCCGCCUCGUCCACGUCGACAUCAGACUCGGCCGAAGAGGUUGCCGAGACCUUCAUGGUGCUUCUCGUCGGUCUGCUCCGCCGGACCCAACUGCCCUCGCGCCACGUGUCCUCCUAGGCUCCGUCCAGGCGGUCUGGCGCGGGAUGCGCCGGCUGCUCCCUCCGGAUGAGCAUCCUCUACCUCGAUGCACGUUGUCUGGUAUCCGAUCUGCAACUUCUGCCCGAUCCCUGGGAAUUAGUACGGCUUUGUGUUCUGAACUAGUGAGUCUCACUCGCACUCGCUCGCACCACUCGCUCUCCAGCGUGCUCUCCCUCUCCCCAUCGCCCCUCUCCGGGAUCCGCUCGCCGGCGGCCUCUCCCUCCCCCGAUCGCCUCUCGACGUCGCUGGCCUCUUCCACCACCCCCUUCCUCCCACCACCCCGCUUCCACUCAGUGAAGGUGAUGCGCCGGUGAAAAGAUUGAUUUUUUCCACCGGUGUCGGUGAUGAGCUUCUAUGCGACGGAGGCGCGCGGGCACUGGAUCUACGUGCGCCGGUGCUGUACGUGAGCGACGGAGGCGUUGGAUCUACGUGCGCCGGUGCUGUACGUGAGCGACGGAGGCGUUGGAUCUACGUGCGCCGGUGCUGUACGUGAGCGACGGAGGCGUUGGAUGUGGAGCGGCGGACCUGGAGCGCGGCCCAAGGAGCGGAUCUGGAGCGGCGGCGGAGCACCGGAGCAGCCGAGCGGCGUCGUCAUCCUCACCGUGUUGGGAAGGAGAUUGAUAGAGACACGCCAGGGUUCUGUCUCGCCUGCUGCAUUGUUUUGAUCACAGCUAGCCCGAGGGAAACAAUCUCAGGGAACCAGGCUCUCGAAACCGAGUCAGACUCCUACAGCGAGUCACUAGUCGAGAGACAGGGCGGCCGAUGCAAGCGAAGCGGCAAAUCAUCAGAUACAAGGCGAAUAAGAAGGAUGGUGUCCAACAGGGAGUCGGCUCGAUGGUCCAGGAGGAGGAACCACACGCAGCUAACUGACCUUGAAUUGCAGGUGGAAUGUUGUUGAGGUCUGGGAGAACCAUGUUGUACUGCUGCUGUUGAUCUGCAGAUGAUCUACUACUGCUGCUGCUACUAUCUACUGCUGCUGGUCCUGCUCAGCAGCAAUGAUGAGGCAACAGCAGUUCCUGCUCAGCAGCAAAUAGGAUGGAGGCGAGCGGCAGCAGGGGAUGGAGGCGCCAACAGCUCUUGAUUGAUGGUUCCAUAUCUGGUUCUUCAUUGGACGCUGUUGAACGUCCACACUGGAUAUGGAUUUUCUCCAUCAAUGGCCACUUGGGAUGGAUUAAAUAUAUAAGGCGUCCAGCUCUUCAAGUAUGGCACAGAGCCGGAGCAUCUGCUGUUCCACCAAAAGUCAGAAUCCUCGGCUGGAGGAUUGCCACUAAUUCUUUGGCUACAAAAAAGAACAAGUUCAGAAGGACUAUUGAGGUGGAUUCCACAUGUAUUAUAUGUGGAAACAGCGAGGAGGAUGAAUUUCAUGCAGUAGUCGAGUGUACCAAGAGCAGAGCUCUGAGGGAAGCAAUGAGAAAGGAAUGGGCACUCCCCCCAGAAAGUUCAUUUCGGCGCACUGGACCUGAUUGGCUGCAGUUGCUACUUAGUACUGUAACAGAGGAUAUGCGUGCGAGAUUAGUAAUGCUACUGUGGAGAUGCUAUGGAGUGAUCCGGGAUCUCAAAGAAGCACUGGCUUUGUUUGCAGAGCACAAGAUCUCUUUUGUUUGGAGGAAUUGCAACGUUUUAGCCCAUCAACUAGCUGCAGAGGCCAAACAGAAUGGAAACCUGCUAAUCAAUGCGGGGGUCCCGGAUAGAUUAAGGGAUCAGUUGACGUCGGAGUGUAAUCCUUCUACUUGAGUAAUCUGUUACUCUUGUUUCUCAAAAAAAAAAAUGCACAUGGUUAUGCUUUAACUGAUGAAAAUAUAAUUACUGAAAAAUAUAACUGCAUUAUGUGUUGUCUUCCUAUGUGUGCCAUGAACUAAUACUGUAUCAGUGCAUACAAAAUACAGAAUUACAUAAAAAGCGGUUGCUGUAUUCUGCACUACACAUGCAAUUCUUAAGAAACGAAGCAUAUUCAUCUGUUGAUUUAGCCACUUCAGCACGGAAAGCCUUUUUGCAGGUGUCUCUGUAUUGUUUCUUUGGACCGUGGUAUGCUUUUGGUUAAGACUAACAUGCUUGGUGGUUUAAUGAGUCUGUACAAUGUCUUACUCUUUCAGAAUGGAUGAGAUGAUGCAAAGGGCAAAGAAGAUGGAGAGAACUGCCUGAGCUGGGAGAACAGGUGUAAAGGUUCGCUGGCAUCUUAGGGAGCACAAUUUGGUCUCUCAAAGGUGGAGGCCUGGAAAAACUUUGGGACGGCUGGGAUUCCGCAGAGGUAAAAAUGUUCCCUCCCUCCCUCUCUGUUCAUUUCUUAUUGCUGGAUAUGUAACCGAAGAGUUUCCUCGCAAAAAAAAAAAAUGAAGUCACUUUUUUUGUAAGUACAAGAAUAGUACUACUCAUUGCGAACAACAAGCGUAGCAAGAACACCACACACCUAGGUAAGACCAAAUACACCAAUGGCCAAGCAAAACUACAAAGCAAAAGCGCCUGCCCUAACUGAGAACAACGCCGCGUCUCGACCAACGCCAAGCACCUCCGAAGACCACCAGAUCCCACUGAACUUUGCUUGUCAACGUACCAUCCACCCUGAGUGCCGAAGAGAAGGUGGCAAGUGAAUCGCAGGACUUAUCAGCUUCGAGGAAGACAUGUCUUGGACACACCGGUGAUGGUCGUACAUAGCACCGCCGAGGAUCAAAAUAGGACCACGAUGAACACCGGAGGAAGCAGCGAGGAACCAAGCCGUGUCUCCAAACAGGGUGUCUCCAAACAGGAUGCUCCCAACAGAGGAGCGACGUCGAGGACACCGCCAUCACGUCGAUCCUACACCGAAUCAAGGCUUCCGCCCGGAGACAAUAACCAACUCCACACGAGCGGAGAGCGAGGGAGAUGUCGAACACACCUCGACGACGCCUCCAAGAAGGGGAACAACACCCAUAGGUGCCAUCGCCGCCGGCCCGGCAGAAGCCGUGCAAGAUUUUCAUCCGAUCAUCGCACAUCUCCACAUCUCGAAAGAAUUGGGUAGCACUAUCCAAGUAGCCUCGCACCGCCGCCACCGCAACACCUCGCCGUCGUAGCUGCAAAGCCGAGGACGCCGACAGACUGCACGGCGGAGAGAAACGCGGUCCAACCAACUCGUUCCACCUGGCCGAGGGACAACAGCCACCCAACAUCUCCGGCAAGAGCAUGGACUGACCGCGAAGGCUAUCACCCGCUCCAAGGGAUAGCCUAUCGACAACCUAGCACCUAACAACGGACAACUCCCACGCCGGCACCACCUGGAGAGCAACGCCGCUCGCCAUGCAGCCUAGAGGUGGCCUGGCGCUCGCUGCUCGCCAGGAACUCCAUCCUAGCCAAACCAUCACAAGCCGCCACCAGUCUGGUCGGUAGAUCGCACCGCCGCCUCCAGACACGCUGCCGCGUCGGUCCGCCUCACCACACCACUGUCUGUCCUCUCCAAGACCACCACUCCACGCCUCCCACUGUGCACCGUCGACAGCCACCACCACAUUGAGCCACCACCUCAGCCGCCUGCACCACCAUCGUGCCUAGCAGCCAUGGAGGCACGGCGUCACCAUGCCUGAAGGUAGCAGCGACCGAAUCCCGACUGACCAGAUUCAAAUCCGGGACGAGCCGAGACCCCCGGCCGCCGCUGCCACAUGCAGCACCACCGGACGGCGCCGCGCCACCACCACAGCCACCGUGCCGAGCCGCCACCGGAACUUCGCUGCUCCAAGCCGCCAAGCUUCAUCCAACAGAAGCGCGCCACAUGGCUAGGAGGAGAGGGGCCGCGCCGAGGAGAGACCCCGCUGCCACCGGCGUUGCCCGGGCUUUGCUCGGCGGUAGCGAGGGGGAAGGGAGGGACCCUUGGGGGGGGGGGGGGGGCGGCGGCGGAGUUCUAGGGUUCCCCUCGUUUCGCCUCAAGGAGGGAUGCAGGGCUCGGGGGGAAAGAGUUGAACAUUAAGAUUCAAAACUGAAGACUGAAGAGUCACAAGCAAGAUAUAAAAGAAUAAAGUAACCACAAAAGAAAUAAUAAAUUUUAAUAUUUUUCCGCCCAUCCACCCUCGCACGUGCUCAGCUCUUUAUAUCGAAGAGCGAGCACGCACCCACUAUUUAUUUAUUUUACAAUGAUGAUGAAACAUGAUUACUUGACGAGCUUGGUUGUCAUAAGGAACUCUGGGAAUCUUUGCGUCUAUUACUUGACGAGCUUUUGCAACCCAACGCGAUUUAGAUAUUUUAGUCUAUGUAGGGCGGCCAUGAGGCUUGAAGAUAAUCUUGGAAGAACACUUAGCAACAUUAUGUUGAGUCCCCUAAGGUAGUACAGCUCCUGCUUCUUCUUCAUGGACAAAUCCAGGCCGUGCGUCCCGGAGUUUCUGUAAAAGGCCAGGACUUCUUCCCGGGGGUCGGUACCAGGAAAGUUAUAUUUUGGAGGCGGAGCUUGCUUUUGCACUUGAGCCGCCGGCGCCGGCUGAUUGCUGCCUGUAUUCGCACCCUGCAUGGCGGGUCUAGUAGCAGUCCGUGUUGUUGUAGCAGCAGUAGUUGGCACAAGCACAGGUCCAGUAGCAACCGAUCUUGUAGCAGCAGCAACGGUCUUCUUGUGGUGCGCGUUUCCUUUUCCAGUAGCAGCCUUUGGCCUUUGUUGAUGCUGUGCAGAUGAUAAACUUGGCCCGUUGGUGUUGGCCCUUGGCUGCUGCGUAGCUGAUGAUGAAGAUUGCAUGCUGAUCCUUGGCUGUUGCAUAGCUGAUGAUGGAGAUUGCAUGCUGAUCCUUGGCUGCUGCGUAGCUGAUGAUGAAGCUUGCAUGUUGAUCCUUGGCUGCUGCAUAACUGAUGAUGAAGCUUGCACGCUGAUCCUUGGCUGCUGGGUAGCUGAUGACGUUGAUGGAGUUUGCACGCUAAUUCUUGGCUGUUGGGUAGCUGAUGAUGCUGAUGAUGAAGCUUGCACGCUGAUCCUUGGCUGCUGGGUAGCUGAUGAUGAAGCUUGCACGCUGGUCCUUGGUUGCUGACUGGAUGUUGAAGCUGGCGUUGGGACAUGAGGAGGAGCGCCCUUCUGAGCCUUUUUUUUCUUCCAGUUGUCAAGUUUCCUAGCAUUAUAACAGGCAGAUAGGUAAGUGUUAAAGUUAGUCGGAACUUCCCAAUCAGGUGGAAAGUCAAGUGAGGCUAGUAUGUCUUGGUAAUCUGUUGGAUUGGAAAGUUUAAUGCGGUUCAGCACAAAUGUAUACGCUCUAACACAAGCAUCCUUUUUCUCGGCCAUAUCUAGGAGCGAGGGAUGGACAUAAAUCAAGUCUCUGUUUGCAAAGCCAUUUGAGGCAAGCAAAUCAAGUAGGUCCUCUAUCUCAGGCGCUAUAUUUAGAUAGCCGGCCAGCACGUUUUCACGAAGAAUGCGACCAAGAACGGCCAGGUUAUUAUCAAUCAUGGCAUUGGUUGCUCUUACGUAAGUGAGACCCUGCCUAAACUUGGUCACAUUACCUUCAUCCAAAAGCACAAGGAUAUCCUCUGGUUGGAGGUUUAUCAGGCAAAGAUUAUCAUCGAACAUAUUUUUAAACAACUGUAAGAGGUUUAUUGCAAGCACUCGCCCUACCUCGGAAAAGUGGGGUAAGGUAGGGUCUAGGAUGUGGACUAAAUGAUGAGGUACUCCUGGAACAACUAUGUCAAGUAUUAUUCUGUUUCUCGCAACGUAAUCAGGAAGUUUGCUCGUCCUAGGUGACACGAUUUUGUUCUGCUGGGUUAAGCAAUCAUAGCAUAUGAAUUGAUAGUACUUGUUGCAAACAUCAAUAAAAUUAGUCAUUUUCAGUGAGAGCGAAAGGGAGUCAAGGGGAAAGGGAAACCCCCUGGGAUGAUGCUGGAGCUCCAAACACUUUGUCCAGCCCCGGUUGGAGUCCCUCGCAAUCGUUCGCGUCCGACUGGAAAUACAUAAGGAUCAUGCAUAUUGUUAGCUUUUGCUGACACUUAGAAAUUAUUAAGCACAUAUCAAGAUUGUCACUUUUUUCAUUAACAUCUGUCCCAACGUGAUCUACUUAUGUAUGGCAUGUUUUAUUUGAGGAAGAACAAAACAAGAAAAAGAACAGCAGCAGCAGAUUCUACAGCAACAUUUUCUGUCCUUUUUUGUUCCAACAGAAGAAGAACAAAAGAGGUCGAUAAUCAUGUUUUCCCGAAAUCAUCUUCAGAUUCGAAACAGUCAUCUACAGCAGAAGAAGAAGAAAGAAGAAGAAGAAGAAGCAGCAGAAGAAGAAAAAAAUUUGAGGUUUUUUUUUUUGGCAGUAGAUCAGGAGAAGCAAAGAAAAAGAAGAAGAAAAGAAGUCGAUCCAAUAAGGCCAGUUUUGCGGAAAUCAUCGUCAGAUUCGAAACUGUCAUCUGCUGCUGUUUUCUUGCAGGCAAAGGCAAAAAAUAGACAUCUACAGCAACGUUUUAUGUCCUUUUUUUUUCUUCUUGUUGUUUCUUGAUUAUCAUGAGAUCGACCGGUCAAUAUCAUGUUUUUUUUGCGGAAA
This is a long non-coding RNA of Triticum aestivum (bread wheat), 6812 nucleotides long. RefSeq lists it as uncharacterized. NCBI's taxonomy places the organism in Eukaryota, Viridiplantae, Streptophyta, Magnoliopsida, Poales, Poaceae. The record is from RefSeq and is a predicted model, not a curated record. The transcript is spliced from 6 exons.